This 497-nucleotide ribosomal RNA is filed under the name uncultured bacterium. RNAcentral's name for it is "partial 16S ribosomal RNA". It matches the Rfam family "Bacterial small subunit ribosomal RNA", at positions 28 to 507 of the family's 1533-position model. The record is from RNAcentral.
GAUGAACGCUGGCGGCGUGCCUAAUACAUGCAAGUCGAGCGAACAGAUGAGGAGCUUGCUCCUCUGACGUUAGCGGCGGACGGGUGAGUAACACGUGGAUAACCUACCUAUAAGACUGGGAUAACUUCGGGAAACCGGAGCUAAUACCGGAUAAUAUAGUGAACCGCAUGGUUCAUUAGUGAAAGACGGUUUUGCUGUCACUUAUAGAUGGAUCCGCGCCGCAUUAGCUAGUUGGUAAGGUAACGGCUUACCAAGGCAACGAUGCGUAGCCGACCUGAGAGGAUGAUCGGCCACACUGGAACUGAGACACGGUCCAGACUCCUACGGGAGGCAGCAGUAGGGAAUAUUCGGCAAUGGGCGAAAGCCUGACGGAGCAACGCCGCGUGAGUGAUGAAGGUCUUCGGAUCGUAAAACUCUGUUAUUAGGGAAGAAUAGAUGUGUAAGUAACUAUGCACGUCUUGACGGUACCUAAUCAGAAAGCCACGGCUAACUACGUG